This 703-nucleotide ribosomal RNA is filed under the name Mycobacterium sp. P3831. RNAcentral's name for it is "bacterial SSU rRNA". It matches the Rfam family "Bacterial small subunit ribosomal RNA", at positions 24 to 744 of the family's 1533-position model. Lineage: Bacteria; Bacillati; Actinomycetota; Actinomycetes; Mycobacteriales; Mycobacteriaceae. The record is from RNAcentral.
UCAGGACGAACGCUGGCGGCGUGCUUAACACAUGCAAGUCGAACGGAAAGGCCCUUCGGGGUGCUCGAGUGGCGAACGGGUGAGUAACACGUGGGUGAUCUGCCCUGCACUUUGGGAUAAGCCUGGGAAACUGGGUCUAAUACCGGAUAGGAUCGUCGGCUUCAUGGCCGGUGGUGGAAAGCUUUUGCGGUGUGGGAUGGGCCCGCGGCCUAUCAGCUUGUUGGUGGGGUAAUGGCCUACCAAGGCGACGACGGGUAGCCGGCCUGAGAGGGUGACCGGCCACACUGGGACUGAGAUACGGCCCAGACUCCUACGGGAGGCAGCAGUGGGGAAUAUUGCACAAUGGGCGCAAGCCUGAUGCAGCGACGCCGCGUGAGGGAUGACGGCCUUCGGGUUGUAAACCUCUUUCAGCAGGGACGAAGCGCAAGUGACGGUACCUGUAGAAGAAGGACCGGCCAACUACGUGCCAGCAGCCGCGGUAAUACGUAGGGUCCGAGCGUUGUCCGGAAUUACUGGGCGUAAAGAGCUCGUAGGUGGUUUGUCGCGUUGUUCGUGAAAACUCACAGCUCAACUGUGGGCGUGCGGGCGAUACGGGCAGACUUGAGUACUGCAGGGGAGACUGGAAUUCCUGGUGUAGCGGUGGAAUGCGCAGAUAUCAGGAGGAACACCGGUGGCGAAGGCGGGUCUCUGGGCAGUAACUGAC